Symphalangus syndactylus (siamang) is the source of this 313-nucleotide long non-coding RNA. RefSeq lists it as uncharacterized. Lineage: Eukaryota; Metazoa; Chordata; Mammalia; Primates; Hylobatidae. The record is from RefSeq and is a predicted model, not a curated record.
CUGCACUGUUGGCUUUCCUACUUUUGCGGUUUUGGGACUCAGACUGGGUUUCUUGCUCCACAGCUUGCAGACAGCCUAUUGUGGGACUUCACCUUGUGAUCCUAGAGAAGUAAUAUGACACCAUAAAGAAACGUGGAUUGCAACAAAGAAAUAAAGAACACUAGAAAUGAAAUAAAUAAAGGAGAAUGGAAAUCAAGAGAUGGCAUUUGAAGUUUCACAAGCAUAGGAGGACUUCUCUAAGAAUGGAAAGCAAUGUGGCAGCAGACUGAUUCUGAUGGGUCCUUUUGUUUCAUAAAGCUUCAUCCAAAAGCCA